Molecule: unclassified non-coding RNA, 102 nt
Organism: Microcebus murinus (gray mouse lemur)
Lineage: Eukaryota; Metazoa; Chordata; Mammalia; Primates; Cheirogaleidae
Rfam family: Y RNA
About the family: Y RNAs are components of the Ro ribonucleoprotein particle (Ro RNP), in association with Ro60 and La proteins.
Source: Ensembl
GGUUGGUCUGAGUCCAGUGCUGUUUGCAACUAAUUGAUCACAACCAGCUAUAGAUUCCUCUGUUCCUUUUCCACUCCCAUUGCUUCAUUUGACCAGCCUUUA